Pistacia vera is the source of this 828-nucleotide long non-coding RNA. RefSeq lists it as uncharacterized. NCBI's taxonomy places the organism in Eukaryota, Viridiplantae, Streptophyta, Magnoliopsida, Sapindales, Anacardiaceae. The record is from RefSeq and is a predicted model, not a curated record. The transcript has 5 exons.
GAACGGUUCCAGGAAGUUACUACGUACAAAGGAAUCAAAUUUUCUAUCUACCCCAAAGACCAAAGUAAUUAGUUAUGCAUGAAUUGAUUUGCUACUGAGGCUAAAUAUGCAGAGAAUUUUCUGUAAAAGGACUCAAAUGGUGUGCUUGCCGCAGUUACGAAAUUGAAUUUAUUUGCUACUCAUGCUAGCUAUGCCAAGAACUUAAAGCUCCUUUGCCAAUCAACAGAGAAAGUACUGAAGGACCAAAUUCUAUUGGUCAAUAUUUCUUGGAACUUCAUUGAGGCUCCAGUGCUCAAUGUCUAGUUUUCACAUUUGCUUGAGGGGAAAAAAAAGAAGAAGCUAUUUUAGUGACAAGUCAUUGUUACAUUGAUUUUGGAUGACACCACCACAAAAAUUGGUCAUUGGACUCAAAGGAAUCAAUUUGCUAGUCAUGCUAACAAGGCUAGUAUGAAGAAAUUCUGUGGAAAAGUUACCUGAAAGUUUGUGUAUUGUGUUUGAUAUGAUUCAUACUUUGCAUGGGCUUAGCGGAUUAUCGACUUACGUUGACGCAUUCAGAGGUCUCACUUGCCAAUGAGUGAGUGGGGUUGAGGGGGUAGCACCCCCUUGAUGGUGAGCCCAAUUAGUAAUUGGGUUUAGAAUUGAUUUGUAAAUAUUUUGGCUUGGGUUUGGUUAGAUUGGGUCAGCCCAAAUGGGGUUAGGGUUACUAUUAUAUGCAUAUUGUAAUAGUGGAAAAUCUCUAGGGUGAGAAAAUUAGAGAGAAAGAGUGAGCUGCUGAUACUUUUUCAUCAUUGUAUUUCACAGAUUUUGAAACUCAAUAAAACUACUCUA